Molecule: ribosomal RNA, 248 nt
Filed under: uncultured bacterium
Lineage: Bacteria
Description: partial 16S ribosomal RNA
Rfam family: Bacterial small subunit ribosomal RNA
Source: RNAcentral
CAUGCCGUAAACGAUGAUUACUAGGUGUGGGGGGACUGACCCCUUCCGUGCCGCAGUUAACACAAUAAGUAAUCCACCUGGGGAGUACGGCCGCAAGGUUGAAACUCAAAGGAAUUGACGGGGGCCCGCACAAGCAGUGGAGUAUGUGGUUUAAUUCGAAGCAACGCGAAGAACCUUACCAGGUCUUGACAUCCCAGGAAUCCUGUAGAGAUACGGGAGUGCCCUUCGGGGAACCUGGAGACAGGUGG